AGAGUUUGAUCCUGGCUCAGAGCGAACGCUGGCGGCAGGCCUAACACAUGCAAGUCGAACGAGCCUUCGGGCUAGUGGCGGACGGGUGAGUAACACGUGGGAACGUACCUUUAGGUUCGGAACAACACAGGGAAACUUGUGCUAAUACCGAAUGUGCCCUUCGGGGGAAAGAUUUAUCGCCUUUAGAGCGGCCCGCGUUAGAUUAGCUAGUUGGUGAGGUAAAGGCUCACCAAGGCUACGAUCUAUAGCUGGUCUGAGAGGAUGAUCAGCCACAUUGGGACUGAGACACGGCCCAAACUCCUACGGGAGGCAGCAGUGGGGAAUCUUGCGCAAUGGUCGAAAGACUGACGCAGCCAUGCCGCGUGAAUGAUGAAGGUCUUAGGAUUGUAAAAUUCUUUCAGCAGGGACGAUAAUGACGGUACCUGCAGAAGAAGCCCCGGCUAACUUCGUGCCAGCAGCCGCGGUAAUACGAAGGGGGCUAGCGUUGCUCGGAAUUACUGGGCGUAAAGGGAGCGUAGGCGGGUUAUCAAGUUGGAGGUGAAAGCCCAGGGCUCAACCUUGGAAUUGCCUUCAAAACUGAUAGCCUAGAGUAUGAUAGAGGUAAGUGGAACUCCGAGUGUAGAGGUGAAAUUCGUAGAUAUUCGGAAGAACACCAGUGGCGAAAGGCGACUUACUGGAUCAUUACUGACGCUGAGGCUCGAAAGCGUGGGGAGCAAACAGGAUUAGAUACCCUGGUAGUCCACGCUGUAAACGAUGAUUGCUAGUUGUCAGCCGGCAUGCCCGGUUGGUGACGCAGCUAACGCAUUAAGCAAUCCGCCUGGGGGAGUA
RNAcentral lists this ribosomal RNA (828 nucleotides) under uncultured Caulobacter sp. Its description in RNAcentral is "bacterial SSU rRNA". It matches the Rfam family "Bacterial small subunit ribosomal RNA", at positions 8 to 882 of the family's 1533-position model. Lineage: Bacteria; Pseudomonadati; Pseudomonadota; Alphaproteobacteria; Caulobacterales; Caulobacteraceae. The record is from RNAcentral.